RNAcentral lists this ribosomal RNA (453 nucleotides) under uncultured Sphingopyxis sp. Its description in RNAcentral is "partial 16S ribosomal RNA". Lineage: Bacteria; Pseudomonadati; Pseudomonadota; Alphaproteobacteria; Sphingomonadales; Sphingopyxidaceae. The record is from RNAcentral.
UACGGAGUUAGCCGGAGCUUAUUCUCCAGGUACUGUCAUUAUCAUCCCUGGUAAAAGAGCUUUACAACCCUAAGGCCUUCAUCACUCACGCGGCAUUGCUGGAUCAGGCUUUCGCCCAUUGUCCAAUAUUCCCCACUGCUGCCUCCCGUAGGAGUCUGGGCCGUGUCUCAGUCCCAGUGUGGCUGAUCAUCCUCUCAGACCAGCUAAAGAUCGUCGCCUUGGUAGGCCUUUACCCCACCAACUAGCUAAUCUUACGCGGGCUCAUCCUUGGGCGAUAAAUCUUUGGUCCGAAGACAUUAUACGGUAUUAGCACAAAUUUCUCUGAGUUAUUCCGUACCCAAGGGCAGAUUCCCACGCGUUACGCACCCGUGCGCCACUAAGUCCGAAGACUUCGUUCGACUUGCAUGUGUUAGGCAUGCCGCCAGCGUUCGUUCUGAGCCAGGAUCAAACUCU